AGUCAAAGCUCGUUAAUGAGUGAUGGCGUGCCUUUUGUAGAAUGAACCGGCGAGUUACGAUUGCAUGCGAGGUUAAGUCGAAGAGACGGAGCCGCAGCGAAAGCGAGUCUGAAUAGGGCGAAUGAGUAUGUAGUCGUAGACCCGAAACCAUGUGAUCUACCCAUGUCCAGGUUGAAGGUGCGGUAAAACGCACUGGAGGACCGAACCCACGUACGUUGAAAAGUGCGGGGAUGAGGUGUGGGUAGCGGAGAAAUUCCAAACGAACUUGGAGAUAGCUGGUUCUCUCCGAAAUAGCUUUAGGGCUAGCCUCGGAAUUGAGAAUGAUGGAGGUAGAGCACUGUUUGGACUAGGGGCCCAUCUCGGGUUACCGAAUUCAGAUAAACUCCGAAUGCCAUUCAUUUAUAUCCGGGAGUCAGACUGCGAGUGAUAAGAUCCGUAGUCGAAAGGGAAACAGCCCAGACCACCAGCUAAGGUCCCAAAAUAUAUGUUAAGUGGAAAAGGAUGUGGGGUUGCACAGACAACUAGGAUGUUGGCUUAGAAGCAGCCACCAUUUAAAGAGUGCGUAAUAGCUCACUAGUCGAGUGACCCUGCGCCGAAAAUGUACCGGGGCUAAACAUAUUACCGAAGCUGUGGACUACACCAUUAGGUGUAGUGGUAGGAGAGCGUUCUAAGGGCGUUGAAGGUCGAUCGUGAGGACGGCUGGAGCGCUUAGAAGUGAGAAUGCCGGUAUGAGUAGCGAA
This 740-nucleotide ribosomal RNA is filed under the name Enterococcus faecalis. RNAcentral's name for it is "partial 23S ribosomal RNA". It matches the Rfam family "Bacterial large subunit ribosomal RNA", at positions 572 to 1313 of the family's 2925-position model. The record is from RNAcentral. Lineage: Bacteria; Bacillati; Bacillota; Bacilli; Lactobacillales; Enterococcaceae.